This 427-nucleotide ribosomal RNA is filed under the name uncultured Spirochaeta sp. Its description in RNAcentral is "bacterial SSU rRNA". It matches the Rfam family "Bacterial small subunit ribosomal RNA", at positions 956 to 1382 of the family's 1533-position model. The record is from RNAcentral. Lineage: Bacteria; Pseudomonadati; Spirochaetota; Spirochaetia; Spirochaetales; Spirochaetaceae.
GAUACGCGAGAAACCUUACCAGGGCUUGACAUAUACAGGAAUGUUGUAGAGAUACAGCAGCCGCUUGCGGUCUGUAUACAGGUGCUGCAUGGCUGUCGUCAGCUCGUGCUGUGAAGUGUUGGGUUAAGUCCCGCAACGAGCGCAACCCCUAUCAUCUGUUGCCAGCAUUUAAGGUGGGGACUCAGAUGAGACUGCCGGUGACAAACCGGAGGAAGGUGGGGAUGACGUUCAAGUCAUCAUGGCCCUUAUGUCCAGGGCGACACACGUGCUACAAUGGCCGGCACAACGGGAAGCGAGUUCGCGAGGACGAGCGGAUCCCUCAAAGCCGGUCGCAGUUCGGAUUGAAGUCUGCAACUCGACUUCAUGAAGCUGGAAUCGCUAGUAAUCGUGGAUCAGCCAAGCCGCGGUGAAUACGUUCCCGGGCCUU